This 1325-nucleotide ribosomal RNA is filed under the name metagenome. RNAcentral describes it as "bacterial LSU rRNA". It matches the Rfam family "Bacterial large subunit ribosomal RNA", at positions 1561 to 2925 of the family's 2925-position model. The record is from RNAcentral.
AGUGGAUGGGGAGCAACCUAGUUGUGCGUGUGUAAAGGUAGUGCCAAGAAAAGCGAUGAUCAUGUUGAAAAUCAAUUCCCGGUACCCGAAACCGACACAGGUGGGCAAGUAGAGAAUACUAAGGGGCGCGAGGUAACUCUCUCCAAGGAACUCGGCAAAAUGACCCCGUAACUUAGGGAGAAGGGGUGCCACCGAGAGGUGGUCGCAGUGAAGAGGCCCAGGCGACUGUUUAGCAAAAACAUAGGUCUCUGCAAACUCGAAAGAGGAGGUAUAGGGGCUGACGCCUGCCCAGUGCCGGAAGGUUAAAGAAGUUGGUCAGUCUUAGGAUGAAGCUAGCGACUGAAGCCCCGGUGAACGGCGGCCGUAACUAUAACGGUCCUAAGGUAGCGAAAUUCCUUGUCGGGUAAGUUCCGACCCGCACGAAAGGCGUAACGAUCUGGGCGCUGUCUCGGAGAGAGGCUCGGCGAAAUAGGAUUGUCUGUGAAGAUACGGACUACCUGCAUUUGGACAGAAAGACCCUAUGAAGCUUUACUAUAGCUUGGAAUUGUGUUCGGGCUUCCUGUGCGCAGGAUAGGUGGGAGGCGUAGAAGGUAUUCUUGUGGGGAUACUGGAGCCAACGGUGAGAUACCACUCUCAGGAGGCUAGAAUUCUAACUUAAUUAAGGACAGUUUCAGGUGGGUAGUUUGACUGGGGCGGUCGCCUCCAAAAAGGUAACGGAGGCGUACAAAGGUUCCCUCAGACUGGUUGGAAAUCAGUCGAAGAGUGCAAAGGCAGAAGGGAGCUUGACUGCGAGAAGUACAGUUCGAGCAGGGUGGAAACACGGUCUUAGUGAUCCGACGGUGCUGUGUGGAAGGGCCGUCGCUCAACGGAUAAAAGUUACUCUAGGAUAACAGGCUGAUCUCCCCCAAGAGUUCACAUCGACGGGGAGGUUUGGCACCUCGAUGUCGGCUCAUCGCAACCUGGGGCGGAAGUACGUCCCAAGGGUUGGGCUGUUCGCCCAUUAAAGCGGUACGUGAGCUGGGUUCAGAACGUCGUGAGACAGUUCGGUCCAUAUCCGAUGUAGGCGUGAGAAUAUUGAGAGGAGCCUUCCUUAGUACGAGAGGACCGGGAAGGACGCACCGCUGGUGUACCUGUUAUGAUGCCAAUUGUAAACGCAGGGUAGCCAAGUGCGGAGAGGAUAACCGCUGAAAGCAUCUAAGUGGGAAGCCCACCUCAAGAUGAGUAUUCUGGUGUAAGGUCACGGGAAGACGACCCGUAAAUAGGCACGAGGUGGAAGUGCAGAGAUGUAUGAAGCCGAAGUGUACUAAUAGACCGUCGGCUUGAUA